This 301-nucleotide ribosomal RNA is filed under the name uncultured bacterium. RNAcentral's name for it is "partial 16S ribosomal RNA". It matches the Rfam family "Bacterial small subunit ribosomal RNA", at positions 509 to 807 of the family's 1533-position model. The record is from RNAcentral.
CAGCAGCCGCGGGAAUACGUAGGGUGCAAGCGUUGUCCGGAAUUAUUGGGCGUAAAGAGCUCGUAGGCGGUCUGUCGCGUCGAAUGUGAAAAUCCGAGGCUCAACCUCGGACCUGCAUUCGAUACGGGCAGACUAGAGUUCGGUAGGGGAGUCUGGAAUUCCUGGUGUAGCGGUGAAAUGCGCAGAUAUCAGGAGGAACACCGGUGGCGAAGGCGGGACUCUGGGCCGAUACUGACGCUGAGGAGCGAAAGCGUGGGGAGCAAACAGGAUUAGAUACCCCUGUAGUCCCUGUCUCUUAUAC